Molecule: ribosomal RNA, 424 nt
Filed under: Proasellus rectangulatus
Lineage: Eukaryota; Metazoa; Arthropoda; Malacostraca; Isopoda; Asellidae
Description: partial 16S ribosomal RNA
Rfam family: Bacterial large subunit ribosomal RNA
Source: RNAcentral
CCCUAUGAGUAGUUUAAAUGGCCGCAGUACUUUGACUGUGCAAAGGUAGCAUAAUCACUUGUCUCUUAAUUGGGGGCUGGAAUGAAAGAGGCGACGAAAUUCAAACUAUUAAAUUUAAGUGUGAAAUUAACAUAAAGGUCAAAAGGCCUUUAUAUAUCAAAGGGACGAUAAGACCCUAUAAAACUUUACUAUAUAGUUAGAUCUCCUUAGGCAAGAUUGAGGUCUAUAGUUUAACUGGGGCGGUUUAUAUACAAACAAUUGAAAUAGAAAAUAUUCUUAUAGAUUCAGAGAGCUCUAAAAUGAAAUGAACAAGUUACUUUAGGGAUAACAGCAUAAUCCCCCCAGAGAGUCCUAAUUGGCGGGGGGGCUUAUGACCUCGAUGUUGAAUUGGGGUGUCUAAUAUAAGUAGAAAUAUAUUAAGAUA